UUUUCAGUGUUUACAAAUAACAUGGAAAAAAUAAAUAAAUAGUUACCAGGGUAGCGAAAAUUCACACAAGUACCAAGGAUGUAACAGCCUACUUAUAAACGUAGAAACUCCAGGUUUAGGUGAAAUGCUUUUGUAUCACAUAGAGAAAUAAAUAGAUGGAAGAGCGUUGUGUAGGGAAAGAGU
Long non-coding RNA from Octopus sinensis (East Asian common octopus), 183 nucleotides. RefSeq lists it as uncharacterized. The transcript has 4 exons. Lineage: Eukaryota; Metazoa; Mollusca; Cephalopoda; Octopoda; Octopodidae. The record is from RefSeq and is a predicted model, not a curated record.